RNAcentral lists this ribosomal RNA (542 nucleotides) under Nassarina metabrunnea. Its description in RNAcentral is "partial small subunit ribosomal RNA". Lineage: Eukaryota; Metazoa; Mollusca; Gastropoda; Neogastropoda; Columbellidae. The record is from RNAcentral.
GACCAAAAGAUUAAGUUAUGUAAAUAGGUAAAAAGAUAGUUAGGUAGAAAAAGAAGUUUGAUGAUUUUUUGUAAAAAGGUAAAAUUUGAAUAUAAAAGGUUAAUUUUUCGAAGGCUUAAAUUCUGAGUCUAUGAUAGUUUUGAGGGAAACUGGGAUUAGAUACCCCAUUAUUCAUAAAUUGUAAAUAAAUGAAUUUACCAGAGUACUAUGAAUAUAUAAAAAUUUAAAACUCAAAGGGCUUGGCGGUGUUUUAGACCAAUUAGGGGAACCUGUCUCGUAAUCGACAGUCCACGAUAUACCUAACCCUUAUUUGUAGGCAGUUUGUAUACCGUCGUCGUCAGGUAACUUUUAAAAAUAAAGAAGUUAGCAGUGAUAAUAAUUAUUAAUUAAGACGUCAGAUCAAGGUGCAGCUUAUAGAAGGGAGAGGAUGGGUUACAAUUAUUAAUUAAUAAUUACGAAUGAUUUAAUGAAAAAAGUUUAAAGGCGGACUUAAAAGUAAUAUUGUUAUAUAUAAAUAAUUUGAAUUAGGCUCUGAAACGUGC